AGUGAACGCUGGCGGUAGACCUAACACAUGCAAGUCGAACGGCAGCACAGUAAGAGCUUGCUCUUACGGGUGGCGAGUGGCGGACGGGUGAGGAAUACAUCGGAAUCUACUUUUUCGUGGGGGAUAACGUAGGGAAACUUACGCUAAUACCGCAUACGACCUACGGGUGAAAGCAGGGGAUCUUCGGACCUUGCGCGAUUGAAUGAGCCGAUGUCGGAUUAGCUAGUUGGCGGGGUAAAGGCCCACCAAGGCGACGAUCCGUAGCUGGUCUGAGAGGAUGAUCAGCCACACUGGAACUGAGACACGGUCCAGACUCCUACGGGAGGCAGCAGUGGGGAAUAUUGGAUAAUGGGCGCAAGCCUGAUCCAGCCAUACCGCGUGGGUGAAGAAGGCCUUCGGGUUGUAAAGCCCUUUUGUUGGGAAAGAAAAGCAGCAGGUUAAUACCCCGCUGUUCUGACGGUACCCAAAGAAUAAGCACCGGCUAACUUCGUG
Molecule: ribosomal RNA, 492 nt
Filed under: uncultured bacterium
Lineage: Bacteria
Description: partial 16S ribosomal RNA
Rfam family: Bacterial small subunit ribosomal RNA
Source: RNAcentral